CUGGAUGGCUGUGAAUUGUCU
RNAcentral lists this microRNA (21 nucleotides) under Gallus gallus (chicken). RNAcentral describes it as "gga-miR-1733". The record is from miRBase by way of RNAcentral. Lineage: Eukaryota; Metazoa; Chordata; Aves; Galliformes; Phasianidae.